GACGAACGCUGGCGGCGUGCCUAAUACAUGCAAGUCGAACGCUUCUUUCCUCCCGAGUGCUUGCACUCAAUUGGAAAGAGGAGUGGCGGACGGGUGAGUAACACGUGGGUAACCUACCCAUCAGAGGGGGAUAACACUUGGAAACAGGUGCUAAUACCGCAUAACAGUUUAUGCCGCAUGGCAUAAGAGUGAAAGGCGCUUUCGGGUGUCGCUGAUGGAUGGACCCGCGGUGCAUGAGCUAGUUGGUGAGGUAACGGCAUACCAAGGCCACGAUGCAUAGCCGAUCUGAGAGGGUGAUGGGCCACACUGGGACUGAGACACGGCCCAGACUCCUACGGGAGGCAGCGGUAGGGAAUCUUCGGGAAUGGACGAAAGUCUGACCGAGCAACGCCGCGUGAGUGAAGAAGGUUUUCGGAUCGUAAAACUCUGUUGUUAGAGAAGAACAAGGGCGUUAGUAACUGAGCGUCCCCUGACGGUAUCUAAACAGAAAGCCACGGCUAACUACGUG
RNAcentral lists this ribosomal RNA (508 nucleotides) under uncultured bacterium. RNAcentral describes it as "partial 16S ribosomal RNA". It matches the Rfam family "Bacterial small subunit ribosomal RNA", at positions 28 to 507 of the family's 1533-position model. The record is from RNAcentral.